RNAcentral lists this ribosomal RNA (186 nucleotides) under uncultured bacterium. RNAcentral describes it as "partial 16S ribosomal RNA". It matches the Rfam family "Bacterial small subunit ribosomal RNA", at positions 423 to 607 of the family's 1533-position model. The record is from RNAcentral.
UUGUAACUUCUUUUAUAUGGGAAUAAAGUCGAGCCACGUGUGGAUUUUUGCAUGUACCUUAUGAAUAAGGAUCGGCUAACUCCGUGCCAGCAGCCGCGGUAAUACGGAGGAUCCGAGCGUUAUCCGGAUUUAUUGGGUUUAAAGGGAGCGUAGAUGGAUUGUUAAGUCAGUUGUGAAAGUUUGCGG